Molecule: transfer RNA, 73 nt
Filed under: Felis catus (domestic cat)
Lineage: Eukaryota; Metazoa; Chordata; Mammalia; Carnivora; Felidae
Also listed under: 1 other name
Rfam family: tRNA
About the family: Transfer RNA (tRNA) molecules are approximately 80 nucleotides in length. Their secondary structure includes four short double-helical elements and three loops (D, anti-codon, and T loops).
Source: Rfam by way of RNAcentral
GCCUGGCUGGCUCAGUCAGUGGAGCAUGGGACUCUUGAUCUCAGGGUUGUGAGUUCAAGCCCCACAUUGGGUG